AUCCAGCUGACCACGAGUCGCAAAUAAGACGAAAUGCUCAUCCUGGAU
This 48-nucleotide non-coding RNA is filed under the name Trichobilharzia regenti. Lineage: Eukaryota; Metazoa; Platyhelminthes; Trematoda; Strigeidida; Schistosomatidae. The record is from RNAcentral.